UUUUGGUUAAUCUGCACAAUUCUUCAUACAGUCUUAUCCUGCCUUCAUUUUAUGACUCCUCCCUCUAGCCUACUUUCCGUCUUACCCAUUUUCGGCCCAAUUACCUUAGAAAAAAAACAGACUAUCAUCAUUUGUGUGUACAUGUAUGUGUAUUUAUAUGUGUCAGGUUUUUUCCUUUGUGUCAUGUCAGCACAACCGCAAGACCCCAUAUCUUAGGUCCAAUGGCAAAUUCCAUCCAAAUCUGAAGGAUGGAGUACAUUAACACCCCAUGACCACCCUGUGAUUUGACAGCAGCGUAGUAACAGAUGUGCAUGUAGGUAACACAAGAUGAAGCCCGCUUAAGAUACACUCCUUGACACAGUAGUUCCACCAUUUCCAAUUCCCCAUGUGUAUUUUCUCUCUCCAGCUGCCUCUCAAUCUUCUUUAUUUUCUCACCCUACAAAGCUCAUCCAAGGAUGGACUUGCAAAUACCAAUACUUUAAAAAAACAAACAUGUAUGAUAUGCUGGAAAAGACAGCGAGUUUCUGAGAAACUUCAUGAACAGUGGUAGCAGGCAAACAAAAGAGUACUGGGAAAACCAAUGCUGCUCUUAGACAGGGCUGCCACAGCUCCCUCCUCCUCAUCCUUUGUCACUCGCCUUCUCUCUUCCCCUCAACCAGCCGUGGUGUUCUCACAACCAUUUCAGGAUCCACUGAAAACCAGCCCUGGCAAAAAGAUGCUUAAAAUCAGCCCAAAGAAACCCCUAUUCCAAUAUGUAGAACCACCAUGUUCUAAUACAUUAUAAUCUAUGCCAUAGAUAUGGCACACUGUAAAAUGCCCCAUAGCAGGAAAAGCUCUGGUUGGAACAUGCAACCAACCUAUGAGAUGCAAAUUCCCAGAAAAAACAAACUUCAUUCCUUCCAGCUCUCAUAAUUCCCCAAUGGAUUUUCUGAUGGUGGAAGUGUUAUGUUUUGCCACCUUAAUAGUUCCUCUACCCUAUUCAAAUCCUACUUUAAUGGCCAUACCCAAUUUUGGCUUAUUGCUUCUUAUUCUUUAAUCUACUUCUGUCGAAAAAUAAUAGGUAUUUCUAUAAAAAUCUGUAUAUUUUACAACAGAAUAAAUUAUGCAAUAUACAAAAGAAAGACGCUAGACUACAUGAAACAUCUUGUAAAAUGUUUUAGAGUAAAGAAGCAUGAAAAGGCUCCAACUUGUGGAAACCUGAAAUGCUUUAAGUACUUUAACAGGUGACACUUCCUUCUUUGAAACUUCAGAGUUCCAAAAUACAAUGACUCUUGCUCACCAACUUACCGUUUUUGACUUUAAAUAGUUUGUCCCUUUUGUUUCCAGUGACUGAACCAAAAUGUUAUUAAUGUAUUCACUGCAUAUUCUAAAGAAUGAUAUAUAUAUAUUUCCAUAUAAAAAACAGACUUCAAAGACAUCUACUUCUCAAGCUUUAAGAGAUCAAACUAGACAAAUCUGAAAUCUCAGGUUUUAUACUCAACAGUUCUUACAGUACAGUUGAGUAGAAGUACAAAAUGCAGACUAUCUGUUUUUACAGGGGUCAGUCAUAAUUCUUAAUUAUUCUAUCUACGUCCUCUGAAUACAGCAGAUAAACUAUCUUCUGCAAUAUUAUUCUCAAAAACUGGGGACUGCAGUAAACUGUUAGAAUGAGGACAUUUCUUGAAGUAUCUUCCAACACACUUAGGACAUCAGUCAUAAUAUUUACAUAUACUCAAGCACUUUAAAAUCUCAAGUUGUAUUAACCAGCUGUCAUCUUAGUGUCAAACUCCGGUCAUUUUAAUGUGAAAUAAGGGUCAGCACAUGACUUCAGCUAUUAUUAAAACAUUUCUUAGCUACUGAACUCCUAUUAAACUAUAAAUGCCAGUUUCCCACAGCAAGGCUUUUCUUGAGCCUCUUCUACACUACAUUUUAUUCAGAGUAAAAUAUCUGAAUCAAAGAAGACAAAAUGAAUACACUACAUCAACAUAAAUUAUUUACAUGCUAACCAUGUGGCUGACCAGACUGUAUAUAAUCAAGACAUUUUCACUUAGUAGUACAAACCUGGUCUGUGAUUGCUAGCUUUUAGGAAGUGAGGGUGAAUUUCUUUAGUCUGGGCAAUGCAGAAUUGCACUGAACUCCCACAGGCUCCUACAGAUUUAAAAAUCUGUGUGUCUAGGAUUCUUCACUGUACAGAAAGCACAGAAAAGCUCACUUUAUAGCACAAGAAAACAGCUGUGAAGACCGCACUAUUAAGACUGCACAUUGCAGACACAUUUGAAAUCUUUGUUUUUUUCAGGAGACCAUACACACAUAAACCCAAACUUGCCAAUUGCUGCUAAAAAAAAAAAAAAAAAAAAAAGGCUAUUAUCAACUUUCACUGGAUCGAGAAAUAAACAGAAAGUAUACCUUUACCAAUUAGAAUUUUACCAAACUCAGGUAUUAAUCGUAAAAAAACCACAAGAUUAGGUGUGUCAGCAUACAUAUAUUUUUUAAUAGCUUUUAUCCCCUUUUAAACUCCUCAGAAGAGCAUAAUCCAAAUGAAAACUGACAAAGUAUUGAAACUGGCAGACUAAAUACCAUGCUCAACAGAAGUUUACAGUAAAAGCCUUCCAUUCCAAACAGAAAAUUAACAACAAAUCACUCCC
RNAcentral lists this long non-coding RNA (2624 nucleotides) under Strigops habroptila (Kakapo). Its description in RNAcentral is "lncRNA (ENSSHBG00005009648.1)". Lineage: Eukaryota; Metazoa; Chordata; Aves; Psittaciformes; Psittacidae. The record is from RNAcentral.